GUUGCGAACGGGUGAGUAACGCGUAGGUAACCUGCCUGGUAGCGGGGGAUAACUAUUGGAAACGAUAGCUAAUACCGCAUAAGAGUAGAUGUUGCAUGACAUUUGCUUAAAAGGUGCAAUUGCAUCACUACCAGAUGGACCUGCGUUGUAUUAGCUAGUUGGUGAGGUAACGGCUCACCAAGGCAACGAUACAUAGCCGACCUGAGAGGGUGAUCGGCCACACUGGGACUGAGACACGGCCCAGACUCCUACGGGAGGCAGCAGUAGGGAAUCUUCGGCAAUGGACGGAAGUCUGACCGAGCAACGCCGCGUGAGUGAAGAAGGUUUUCGGAUCGUAAAGCUCUGUUGUAAGAGAAGAACGAGUGUGAGAGUGGAAAGUUCACACUGUGACGGUAUCUUACCAGAAAGGGACGGCUAACUACGUGCCAGCAGCCGCGGUAAUACGUAGGUCCCGAGCGUUGUCCGGAUUUAUUGGGCGUAAAGCGAGCGCAGGCGGUUAGAUAAGUCUGAAGUUAAAGGCUGUGGCUUAACCAUAGUACGCUUUGGAAACUGUUUAACUUGAGUGCAAGAGGGGAGAGUGGAAUUCCAUGUGUAGCGGUGAAAUGCGUAGAUAUAUGGAGGAACACCGGUGGCGAAAGCGGCUCUC
This 646-nucleotide ribosomal RNA is filed under the name uncultured Streptococcus sp. Its description in RNAcentral is "bacterial SSU rRNA". It matches the Rfam family "Bacterial small subunit ribosomal RNA", at positions 95 to 729 of the family's 1533-position model. Lineage: Bacteria; Bacillati; Bacillota; Bacilli; Lactobacillales; Streptococcaceae. The record is from RNAcentral.